UACGGGGGGGGCAAGCGUUGUUCGGAAUUACUGGGCGUAAAGGGCGUGUAGGCGGCCAACUAAGUCCGACGUGAAAUCCCCAGGCUUAACCUGGGAACUGCGUCGGAUACUGGAUGGCUUGAAUCCGGGAGAGGGAUGCAGAAUUCCAGGUGUAGCGGUGAAAUGCGUAGAUAUCUGGAGGAAUACCGGUGGCGAAGGCGGCAUCCUGGACCGACAUUGACGCUGAGGAGCGAAAGCUAGGGGAGCAAACGGG
This 253-nucleotide ribosomal RNA is filed under the name uncultured bacterium. Its description in RNAcentral is "partial 16S ribosomal RNA". It matches the Rfam family "Bacterial small subunit ribosomal RNA", at positions 524 to 776 of the family's 1533-position model. The record is from RNAcentral.